RNAcentral lists this RNase P RNA (390 nucleotides) under Verrucomicrobiales bacterium. Its description in RNAcentral is "RNase P RNA component class A". It matches the Rfam family "Bacterial RNase P class A". From Rfam's summary of the family: Ribonuclease P (RNase P) is a ubiquitous endoribonuclease, found in archaea, bacteria and eukarya as well as chloroplasts and mitochondria. Its best characterised activity is the generation of mature 5'-ends of tRNAs by cleaving the 5'-leader elements of precursor-tRNAs. The record is from RNAcentral. Lineage: Bacteria; Pseudomonadati; Verrucomicrobiota; Verrucomicrobiia; Verrucomicrobiales.
UUGGGAGAGCGGAGGCUCGCUGGCGGGUCCACCCGCCAGAGGAAAGUCCGAACACCAUAGGGCGCGAUGCCGCGUAACCCGUCGUUUCGGCGGCGGGAUAUGCGCGGGAGGCAACGCCGCGAGGCGUCCCGACGGACAGUGCCACAGAAAACAAACCGCCCGGCUCCGGCCGGGUAAGGGUGAAAAGGUGGGGUAAGAGCCCACCGCUCGCCGCGCAAGCGUCGAGGCACGGAAAACCCCAUCGGGUGCAAGGCCAAAUAGGAAACCGGGACGUGGCCCGCGUCGCGCGGGACGAAAGUCCCGCCGGUUUCGGGUUGGGCCGCUCAGACAAAUGAGCCUCUCCUCCGGCGACGGAGCAGACAGAAUUCGGCUUACAGCUCUCCCAAGACC